RNAcentral lists this unclassified non-coding RNA (345 nucleotides) under Hevea brasiliensis (rubber tree). Lineage: Eukaryota; Viridiplantae; Streptophyta; Magnoliopsida; Malpighiales; Euphorbiaceae. The record is from RNAcentral.
GGGAAGAGCACUGUAUGCUGCAGAAGCCGACAGAAUUCGGAACUGGGCAGAGAGCCGAGCACGCUUCUCUUUCACCGAUGCUAUGGAGAUGUACACAGAGAAUACUUGGGUGUCUGUAUUUUCGCUGUCCGUCGUAUGCGCCUUCAUAAUACUCUCGAGCUCAGCAGGCGCUUUCCCAGGCACAUCCUUCUAAACAAGGUGUUUCGGAUCAACCAAAUCAUCAUCAUCUACAAAGUUUAGCCAUGGAUACCCUUUAAAUAGAGAGGAAGUUUAUCAACAGCAGCAGCCUCGCCAUGGACCUGACCAUUAAUUUUACGAUGAAAAUCAUCUGGGCCAGAAUUUAAA